GACGAACGCUGGCGGCGUGCUUAACACAUGCAAGUCGAACGAAGUGGCGAACGGGUGAGUAACGCGUAAUUAACCUGCUCUUCAGCGGGGGACAACAGUUGGAAACGACUGCUAAUACCGCAUACUGAAGGAGGGGCUUGCGUCUGAUUAGCUAGUUGGCGGGGUAACGGCCCACCAAGGGGAUGAUCAGUAGCAGGUCUGAGAGGAUGAACGGCCACAUUUGGACUGAGAAACGGCCGAGAACCCUACGGGAGGCAGCAGUGGGGAAUCUUCCGCAAUGGACGAAAGUCUGACGGAGCAACGCCGCGUGAGUGAUGACGGCCUUCGGGUUGUAAAGCUCUGUUAAUCGGGACGCGGUACCGGAAUAGAAAGCCACGGCUAACUACGUGCCAGCCGCCGCGGUAAUAC
Molecule: ribosomal RNA, 408 nt
Filed under: uncultured bacterium
Lineage: Bacteria
Description: partial 16S ribosomal RNA
Rfam family: Bacterial small subunit ribosomal RNA
Source: RNAcentral